This is a long non-coding RNA of Xyrauchen texanus (razorback sucker), 533 nucleotides long. RefSeq lists it as uncharacterized. The record is from RefSeq and is a predicted model, not a curated record. The transcript has 3 exons. NCBI's taxonomy places the organism in Eukaryota, Metazoa, Chordata, Actinopteri, Cypriniformes, Catostomidae.
UUGUGUCCUUGAGUAAGACACUUAACUCCAGGUUGCUCCGGGGGGAUUGUCCCUGUAAUAAGUGCUCUGUAUAAUACAUUGGUAAUCAGAAGGUUGCUGGUUCGAUCCCCACAGUCACCACCAUUGUGUCCUUGAGUAAGGCACUUAACUCCAGGUUGCUCCGGGGGGAUUGUCCCUGUAAUAAGUGCUCUGUAUAAUACAUUGGUACUCAGAAGGUUGCUGGUUUGAUCCCCACAGCCACCACCAUUGUGUCCUUGAGUAAGACACUUAACUCCAGGUUGCUCCGGGGGGAUUGUCCCUGUAAUAAGUGCUCUGUAUAAUACAUUGGUACUCAGAAGGUUGCUGGUUUGAUCCCCACAGUCACCACCAUUGUGUCCUUGAGUAAGGCACUUAACUCCAGGUUGCUCCGGGGGGAUUGUCCCUGUAAUAAGUGCACUGUAUAAUACAUUGGUAAUCAGAAGGUUGCUGGUUUGAUCCCCACAGUCACCACCAUUGUGUCCUUGAGUAAGGCACUUAACUCCAGGUUGCUCCGG